GCAGCGCAUCCUACGGGAGGCAGCAGUGGGGAAUAUUGCACAAUGGGCGCAAGCCUGAUGCAGCCAUGCCGCGUGUAUGAAGAAGGCCUUCGGGUUGUAAAGUACUUUCAGCAGUGAGGAAGGUGGAUAUGUUAAUAGCAUAUUCAUUUGACGUUAGCUGCAGAAGAAGCACCGGCUAACUCCGUGCCAGCAGCCGCGGUAAUACGGAGGGUGCGAGCGUUAAUCGGAAUUACUGGGCGUAAAGCGCAUGCAGGUGGUUUGUUAAGUCAGAUGUGAAAGCCCGGGGCUCAACCUCGGAAUUGCAUUUGAAACUGGCAAACUAGAGUACUGUAGAGGGGGUAGAAUUUCAGGUGUAGCGGUGAAAUGCGUAGAGAUCUGAAGGAAUACCGGUGGCGAAGGCGGCCCCCUGGACAGAUACUGACACUCAGAUGCGAAAGCGUGGGGAGCAAACAGGAUUAGAUACCCUGGUAG
Molecule: ribosomal RNA, 471 nt
Filed under: uncultured bacterium
Lineage: Bacteria
Description: bacterial SSU rRNA
Rfam family: Bacterial small subunit ribosomal RNA
Source: RNAcentral